GAUGAACGCUAGCGGCAGGCCUAAUACAUGCAGGUCGAACGGGUGGUCGCAAGACCACUAGUGGCGCACGGGUGCGUAACGCGUAACCAACCUGCCCCGAUCUGGGGGAUAGCCCGCCGAAAGGCGGAUUAAUACCGCAUAUACCCGCAGCCUGGCAUCAGGCAACGGGGAAAGAUUUAUUGGAUCGGGAUGGGGUUGCGUGACAUUAGCUAGUUGGCGGGGUAAGGGCCCACCAAGGCGACGAUGUCUAGGGGACCUGAGAGGGUGAUCCCCCACACUGGCACUGAGAUACGGGCCAGACUCCUACGGGAGGCAGCAGUAGGGAAUAUUGGGCAAUGGGCGAGAGCCUGACCCAGCCAUGCCGCGUGCCGGAUGAAGGCCUUCUGGGUUGUAAACGGCUUUUCUCAGGGAAGAAAAAGACCUUGCGAGGUACACUGACGGUACCUGAGGAAUAAGCACCGGCUAACUCCGUG
RNAcentral lists this ribosomal RNA (473 nucleotides) under uncultured bacterium. Its description in RNAcentral is "partial 16S ribosomal RNA". It matches the Rfam family "Bacterial small subunit ribosomal RNA", at positions 28 to 507 of the family's 1533-position model. The record is from RNAcentral.